This 248-nucleotide ribosomal RNA is filed under the name uncultured Ruminiclostridium sp. Its description in RNAcentral is "partial 16S ribosomal RNA". It matches the Rfam family "Bacterial small subunit ribosomal RNA", at positions 524 to 771 of the family's 1533-position model. Lineage: Bacteria; Bacillati; Bacillota; Clostridia; Eubacteriales; Oscillospiraceae. The record is from RNAcentral.
UACGUAGGGGGCGAGCGUUAUCCGGAUUUACUGGGUGUAAAGGGUGCGUAGGCGGUUUUGCAAGUCAGAAGUGAAAUCCAUGGGCUUAACCCAUGAACUGCUUUUGAAACUGCAGGACUUGAGUGAAGUAGAGGUAGGCGGAAUUCCGAGUGUAGCGGUGAAAUGCGUAGAUAUUCGGAGGAACACCAGUGGCGAAGGCGGCCUGCUGGGCUUUUACUGACGCUGAUGCGCGAAAGCGUGGGGAGCAA